UCCACCCGUGUUGCCCGAACCUAUGUUGCCUCGGCGGGCCCCGCGCCCGCCGACGGCCCCCCUGAACGCUGUCUGAAGUUGCAGUCUGAGACCUAUAACGAAAUUAGUUAAAACUUUCAACAACGGAUCUCUUGGUUCCGGCAUCGAUGAAGAACGCAGCGAAAUGCGAUAACUAAUGUGAAUUGCAGAAUUCAGUGAAUCAUCGAGUCUUUGAACGCACAUUGCGCCCUCUGGUAUUCCGGAGGGCAUGCCUGUCCGAGCGUCAUUGCUGCCCUCAAGCCCGGUUGGUGUGUUGGGCCCCGUCCCCCCCGCCGGGGGGACGGGCCCGAAAGGCAGCGGCGGCACCGCGUCCGGUCCUCGAGCGUAUGGGGCUUCGUCACCCGCUCUAGUAGGCCCGGCCGGCGCCAGCCGACCCCCAACCUUUAAUUAUCUCAGGUUGACCUCGGAUCAGGUAGGGAUACCCGCUGAACUUAAGCAUAUCAUA
Molecule: ribosomal RNA, 484 nt
Filed under: fungal sp. AM2013
Lineage: Eukaryota; Fungi
Description: eukaryotic LSU rRNA
Rfam family: 5.8S ribosomal RNA (bases 112-265)
Source: RNAcentral